AGACUCAAUCCCUCAGGUUUCCGAGGAGAUUGGACUUGGGUGUUGCCGCUCUACCGGCUCGCCUUAAAAGACUUAGCGGGAUAGCUCCGUAGUCGGCGUAAUAAGUUUCGUCGGUGAAGGUUGUGAUGACUGCUUACAAUCGCCCUCGGGCAAUUCUUGA
Molecule: unclassified non-coding RNA, 160 nt
Filed under: uncultured Cryptococcus
Lineage: Eukaryota; Fungi; Basidiomycota; Tremellomycetes
Description: sequence contains ITS2
Source: RNAcentral